UUUGGCAAGUCGCGACAACGGACACCACUCCACUCUCUGUAACAAACUCUACGUGACCUUGAAUGACCCCUGACGCCACUACUCUCUAUAACAAACUCCACGCAACUCUGAACAGCCCACUACCAGACAAUUACAGAUGUCGCUAUCAAUCAGUUACGCUCUCCAUCUAUAAAAAGGGAUCCACAGAUACAUUCUUUUCUAAGCUCUAAACUCUAUUCCAAAACUCUGCUAAAAUUUUCACUCGAAC
Molecule: long non-coding RNA, 247 nt
Filed under: Elaeis guineensis (African oil palm)
Lineage: Eukaryota; Viridiplantae; Streptophyta; Magnoliopsida; Arecales; Arecaceae
Description: long non-coding RNA (EGUI_LNC067530)
Source: RNAcentral